Sorex fumeus (smoky shrew) is the source of this 452-nucleotide long non-coding RNA. RefSeq lists it as uncharacterized. The transcript has 3 exons. The record is from RefSeq and is a predicted model, not a curated record. NCBI's taxonomy places the organism in Eukaryota, Metazoa, Chordata, Mammalia, Eulipotyphla, Soricidae.
UAUAGAUGUCUGUGGAAACAUGCAGAAGAACUGUGCUGUCUCAACAGUCGGUUGGAACACAGAUGGCUCAAGUCAUCACCACCCAAACAUAACAACUUUAUACAAUUUGAAUCCAACUCAGCCACUAUUUGAUAAGAAAAUAUAUUUCUCUCCAGUUUGUGAAACUAUCUCUACUGGCUAUGCAGAUGAAAAAAGCCAGAUUCCGGAGACGAGCAAGGAUUUCUAUUAUUGAACUUCAGUUCAAAGAUGAGACUUCCUUUAUUCCAGCCCUGCUCACGAUUUUUGACUGAAUUCGAAGGGUCCAGAGAUAUCACCAUGCUUUUCUGUCUCUGCCACUAAAGUGUACUGAGUCAAGCGGGUGCCUGUUCUCCCUGAUUGUACACGUUGUUCCUUGACACCUUAGGCCUACAGCAGGAGUUUGCAGAUGUGUUAGGUGAAUCUCCAGGAUAGUA